This is a long non-coding RNA of Triticum aestivum (bread wheat), 313 nucleotides long. RefSeq lists it as uncharacterized. The record is from RefSeq and is a predicted model, not a curated record. The transcript has 3 exons. Lineage: Eukaryota; Viridiplantae; Streptophyta; Magnoliopsida; Poales; Poaceae.
CCUGCCACGAAGCCCGCCGGAACCCUAGCCUCUGAUUGUCCCAUCUCCCCUGCCGCCCCCUUGCCGCGGGCCCGCGGUCGGAACCCUAGCUCCAGAGAAGUGGUUGCUGCAGGCGAGGAGAUCUCUGAUAUAAGCUAGCUUCGCCGCCUCACAGCUGCAGCAAGACCCUGAAUUGGGCAGCAUCGUGAAGGACAAGAAGUCACUAUGAUGACUGCUCGAGGGUCACCAAGGUUGAGCCUCCUCAAAAAAGCUGUCGAGAGGGAUAGAGCAUCACCUCCUACAAGCAGUGUGACAAAGAGGAGGAGAGGGUCUC